RNAcentral lists this ribosomal RNA (334 nucleotides) under uncultured bacterium. RNAcentral's name for it is "bacterial SSU rRNA". It matches the Rfam family "Bacterial small subunit ribosomal RNA", at positions 28 to 335 of the family's 1533-position model. The record is from RNAcentral.
GAUGAACGCUGGCGGCGUGCUUAACACAUGCAAGUCGAACGGAGAUAUGAGGCGAGCGGGAAGUGCUUGCACAGAACAAUCAUUUCAUAACUUAGUGGCGGACGGGUGAGUAACGCGUGGGUAACCUGCCUUAUACCGGGGGAUAACACUUAGAAAUAGGUGCUAAUACCGCAUAAGCGCACAGUAUCGCAUGAUACAGUGUGAAAAACUCCGGUGGUAUAAGAUGGACCCGCGUCUGAUUAGCUUGUUGGCGGGGUAACGGCCCACCAAGGCGACGAUCAGUAGCCGGCCUGAGAGGGUGAACGGCCACAUUGGGACUGAGACACGGCCCAAA